This 656-nucleotide long non-coding RNA is filed under the name Zonotrichia albicollis (white-throated sparrow). RNAcentral describes it as "lncRNA (ENSZALG00000002849.1)". Lineage: Eukaryota; Metazoa; Chordata; Aves; Passeriformes; Passerellidae. The record is from RNAcentral.
AUGCUGAUGAGAAAGCAGAGUCUCAGAAUCACUGUGAGCUUGGCAGGCAUGGAGCACCAGCCCUCACCUGGAAGGCUGCUGUCCUCCAGAGUGGUCUGGGACAGAGGGACAUCAAUGAGCCAAGAGAGAAGCCAAAAAUUGACCCGGCACAGGAUGAAACCCUUGUCACCAAAGCUCCUUCUUCAUAGCCUCAGGUCUGGUUCUGCUUUUGCCUGCACCACUUCAGCCUUCCCUGGCCCAGGGUCAGAAUUGGAUGUGGUCAGGAAGCCAUCCUUUGCAAAUCUGCUGGAGUCCUUUGGAGAAGCCAUGGAAAAUGUGCAGAGAGGAGGUCAGCUGAUAAGUUUUUGGUUUUCAUUUUCAACAGCAUCACUCCACAGAGGCUCAUAAGGAAUUGAAGUGACAUGAAAGAAGUGGUAGGAAAAAAGCUUUACCCUCUUAUGAUUAAAGGUUAGGAAACAGUUGUGAAUGAUUCGUAAAUUUUUUUCAACAGAAUAAUAUUUCCAAUGAAAUCUCACAGAAACUUAUUUGUAAGGUAUUGCAUAUUUGUAAAUUAUUUAGAAAAGCAGUGGAUGCCAAGGCAUCAAAGUGUAUUGCUGGUCUGGGUUUCUCAGGAAUGUAAAGAAAAGUGCAUAUGAGGAUUUCAGGAGGAGUUCGGA